RNAcentral lists this ribosomal RNA (468 nucleotides) under uncultured bacterium. RNAcentral describes it as "partial 16S ribosomal RNA". It matches the Rfam family "Bacterial small subunit ribosomal RNA", at positions 28 to 507 of the family's 1533-position model. The record is from RNAcentral.
GACGAACGCUGGCGGCGUGCUUAACACAUGCAAGUCGAACGGAAAGGCCCUGCUUUUGUGGGGUGCUCGAGUGGCGAACGGGUGAGUAACACGUGAGUAACCUGCCCUUGACUUUGUGAUAACUUCAGGAAACUGGGGCUAAUACCGGAUAGGAGCUCCUGCUGCAUGGUGGGGGUUGGAAAGCUUCGGCGGUUGGGGAUGGACUCGCGGCUUAUCAGCUUGUUGGUGGGGUAGUGGCUUACCAAGGCUUCGACGGGUAGCCGGCCUGGGAGGGUGACCGGCGACAUUGGGACUGCGAUAGGGCCCAGACUCGUACGGGAGGCAGCAGUGGGGAAUAUUGCACAAUGGGCGGAAGCGUGAUGCAGCAACGCCGCGUGCGGGAUGACGGCCUUCGGGUUGUAAACCGCUUUCGCCUGUGACGAAGCGUGAGUGACGGUAAUGGGUAAAGAAGCACCGGCUAACUACGUG